UACAGAGGUCUCAAGCGUUACUCGGAAUUACUGGGCGUAAAGCGUGCGUAGGUGGUUUGUUAAGUCUGUUGUGAAAGCCCCGGGCUCAACCUGGGAAUGGCAAUGGAUACUGGCAAGCUAGAGUGCGGUAGAGGGUAGUGGAAUUCCCGGUGUAGCGGUGAAAUGCGUAGAGAUCGGGAGGAACACCAGUGGCGAAGGCGGCUACCUGGACCAGCACUGACACUGAGGCACGAAAGCGUGGGGAGCAAACAGG
RNAcentral lists this ribosomal RNA (253 nucleotides) under uncultured bacterium. RNAcentral's name for it is "partial 16S ribosomal RNA". It matches the Rfam family "Bacterial small subunit ribosomal RNA", at positions 524 to 776 of the family's 1533-position model. The record is from RNAcentral.